RNAcentral lists this ribosomal RNA (588 nucleotides) under uncultured bacterium. Its description in RNAcentral is "bacterial SSU rRNA". It matches the Rfam family "Bacterial small subunit ribosomal RNA", at positions 337 to 916 of the family's 1533-position model. The record is from RNAcentral.
UCCUACGGGAGGCAGCAGUGGGGAAUAUUGGACAAUGGGGGGAACCCUGAUCCAGCCAUGCCGCGUGUGUGAAGAAGGCCUUAUGGUUGUAAAGCACUUUAAGCGAGGAGGAGGCUACUAGUAUUAAUACUACUGGAUAGUGGACGUUACUCGCAGAAUAAGCACCGGCUAACUCUGUGCCAGCAGCCGCGGUAAUACAGAGGGUGCGAGCGUUAAUCGGAUUUACUGGGCGUAAAGCGUGCGUAGGCGGCCAUUUAAGUCAAAUGUGAAAUCCCCGAGCUUAACUUGGGAAUUGCAUUCGAUACUGGAUGGCUAGAGUAUGGGAGAGGAUGGUAGAAUUCCAGGUGUAGCGGUGAAAUGCGUAGAGAUCUGGAGGAAUACCGAUGGCGAAGGCAGCCAUCUGGCCUAAUACUGACGCUGAGGUACGAAAGCAUGGGGAGCAAACAGGAUUAGAUACCCUGGUAGUCCAUGCCGUAAACGAUGUCUACUAGCCGUUGGGGCCUUUGAGGCUUUAGUGGCGCAGCUAACGCGAUAAGUAGACCGCCUGGGGAGUACGGUCGCAAGACUAAAACUCAAAUGAAUUGACGG